CCAACCUGUCACGCCUCAGAUUACAAAGGAAGUUCGGAUUAUGUCAACUGACAGGCCGCAUAUACAAGUAUACACCUUAUAUAUACGAAGCGUCAGUAAAACCUAUCCAACAAAAUUAUCUAAAAUCUAACAACAUUACGUAUCAGAGGAAAAUAAAAAUUAUAUACUAUAACAACACUGUAAAUAUAUACGAUCAUCACCACACCAGUUUUCAAAAUGAUACAACAUUUUUUAUCACUCCAAAUCUCAAAACACUGUACAUGCUACUAUAUAUACUAAUAGCUGGUCCAACUACACGCACAAAAAGGAUAGGAAAUGCUAACUAUUCGCGAUCCCCUUAUCUCGAUCAGUUGCUAGUGCUGAAGACUGUGAAAUGAAAUAUUAAUAAAGAAAGUAUGAAAACUAUAACAAUAGUCUCAAGUGAGUAUGGUUGACAGCACCGAUGGUCUACACCACCAGGUCUAUAUGAGACAAAAAUAGUAAAAGACCGAUGAGUGUAAAUAAAUAAGUACUAAUAUGAAUAAUUGUUGAGAGUAACUAUUACUAUCACGUCUUUAUAAUAUAACUAAAAUCUGCAGUUCAUAUAUGUCAUGCAUCAAUUAGUUACUGAAUAAAACAUUACAAUACGACCCAAACAUAGUGACCGACUCAAUAGUCAGAUUUAACCUGUAUCGCCUCGUGUCCAGCAUCCACCUAUUGUAGCCUGCUACCACGCAGACUACUGUCUGGUUUAUGUCAUAAUAAUGUAUCAUAAUCCAACAUCUGGGGCGCUACCCCAACCAAGUAUAGUAUUAUUGUCAAACUCAGCAUAGCAUGCAGACUGUAAUCAAAUACGAUGAAUCAAACAGAUCAUGAUAAUACUGUUAUACUGUCCAAAAUAUAGUUAUAGUCUCACACUAUCUGUAGCUGUUUAAUGACCUUUAGGAAAAUAUCAUAUAUCAUAUAUAUACAUCAAUCAAAUACGAUGAAUCAAACAGAUCAUGAUAAUACUGUUAUACUGUCCAAAAUAUAGUUAUAGUCUCACACUAUCUGUAGCUGUUUAAUGACCUUUAGGAAAAUAUCAUAUAUCAUAUAUAUAUGUAUAUAUAUGUAUAUAUAGAGUUGAGCUAGAAUACUCUCGAUAGUAAACGGGGCGUUUUACUAUCGAGUUGUUUUCGAUGAUAGAGCUUCCAAAUUGACGAUCGGCUCCGUUAAAUAUGAUCUAAACCAUUUAAACUGCCUAGAAAUCAAAUUUCACGCACUUUCGAUAUUGUUCUUUUAUCCAUCUAGUGAACAAAAAAUGAAUGGUUGAAAAUGAAUAUUCUUUAAAAAAUGAUGAUAGGAGUCUUGUAAUCAAGAUCAAGAGUAUAGAUCUUGUUUUAAAUGGUUUAAAGAAUUUUCUAACAAAAAUUCAAUUGAUUUGGAUAUCUUUACACCGUUAAACGAGAAAACGUCUCUUAUCCACCAUUAAAAUUACAAAUUUUGAAACCCUUUGAUCAUUAGGCAAAUGAUGUCGAAAAGAUUUGAAAUUUGAUUUCUAAACACUUCAAGUGGUAUAG
This 1538-nucleotide long non-coding RNA is filed under the name Ananas comosus (pineapple). RNAcentral's name for it is "long non-coding RNA (ACOM_LNC003032)". Lineage: Eukaryota; Viridiplantae; Streptophyta; Magnoliopsida; Poales; Bromeliaceae. The record is from RNAcentral.